This 354-nucleotide ribosomal RNA is filed under the name Leopoldius coronatus. RNAcentral's name for it is "partial 12S ribosomal RNA". Lineage: Eukaryota; Metazoa; Arthropoda; Insecta; Diptera; Conopidae. The record is from RNAcentral.
UUAAAAUGUAAUCGUUUAUAUUAGAGUAGUAAUAGUUAUGUUCUUGAAACUUAAAAAAUUUGGCGGUAUUUUAGUCUAAUCAGAGGAACCUGUUCCGUAAUCGAUAAUCCACGUUGGACCUUACUUAAGUUUGUUUAGUUUAUAUACCGUCGUUAUGAAAAACUUUUUUAGAAGAAUAGUUUUUAAUAAUUAGAAUUAUAAUAUAUAUCAGAUCAAGGUGUAGCUUAUACUUAAGUGGAAAUGGGUUACAAUAAAAUUAUUUAUAUGGAUUUUUCAUUGAAAGUGAAAAUGAAAGUGGAUUUGAAAGUAAAUUUUUAUAGAUAGAAAAAUUGAAAUUAGCUCUAAAGUAUGUAC